GACGAACGCUGGCGGCGUGCUUAACACAUGCAAGUCGAACGGAAAGGCCCUGCUUUUGUGGGGUGCUCGAGUGGCGAACGGGUGAGUAACACGUGAGUAACCUGCCCUUAACUUUGGGAUAACUUCAGGAAACUGGGGCUAAUACCGGAUAGGAGCUCCUGCUGCAUGGUGGGGGUUGGAAAGUUUCGGCGGUUGGGGAUGGACUCGCGGCUUAUCAGCUUGUUGGCGGGGUAGUGGCUUACCAAGGCUUUGACGGGUAGCCGGCCUGAGAGGGUGACCGGCCACAUUGGGACUGAGAUACGGCCCAGACUCCUACGGGAGGCAGCAGUGGGGAAUAUUGCACAAUGGGCGGAAGCCUGAUGCAGCAACGCCGCGUGCGGGAUGACGGCCUUCGGGUUGUAAACCGCUUUCGCCUGUGACGAAGCGUGAGUGACGGUAAUGGGUAAAGAAGCACCGGCUAACUACGUG
Molecule: ribosomal RNA, 468 nt
Filed under: uncultured bacterium
Lineage: Bacteria
Description: partial 16S ribosomal RNA
Rfam family: Bacterial small subunit ribosomal RNA
Source: RNAcentral